UUGUGCGGCUGGAACGUGGCAGGCUGCGGAGGGCAAUACUCAUCCCCCACGCGGUUCAACACAAUGUCCUAGA
Molecule: small nucleolar RNA, 73 nt
Organism: Leptomonas pyrrhocoris
Lineage: Eukaryota; Euglenozoa; Kinetoplastea; Trypanosomatida; Trypanosomatidae
Rfam family: Trypanosomatid snoRNA TB10cs1H3
Source: Rfam